UACGGAGGGUGCAAGCGUUGUCCGGAAUCAUUGGGUGUAAAGGGUGCGCAGGCGGGGGCUUAAGUCGAGGGUGAAAUCUUGCCGCUUAACGGUAAAAUGGCCUUCGAUACUGAGUUUCUUGAGUCCAGAAGAGGCCGGUGGAAUUCGUGGUGUAGCGGUGAAAUGCAUAGAUAUCACGAAGAACACCAGUGGCGAAGGCGGCCGGCUGGUCUGGAACUGACGCUGAGGCACGAGAGCGUGGGGAGCGAACAGG
This 253-nucleotide unclassified non-coding RNA is filed under the name uncultured Bacteroidota bacterium. RNAcentral's name for it is "uncultured Bacteroidetes bacterium contains 16S-23S intergenic spacer region". It matches the Rfam family "Bacterial small subunit ribosomal RNA", at positions 524 to 776 of the family's 1533-position model. The record is from RNAcentral. Lineage: Bacteria; Pseudomonadati; Bacteroidota.